RNAcentral lists this transfer RNA (87 nucleotides) under Acidobacteriota bacterium. RNAcentral's name for it is "Acidobacteria bacterium (rhizosphere metagenome) tRNA-Leu". It matches the Rfam family "tRNA". From Rfam's summary of the family: Transfer RNA (tRNA) molecules are approximately 80 nucleotides in length. Their secondary structure includes four short double-helical elements and three loops (D, anti-codon, and T loops). Lineage: Bacteria; Pseudomonadati; Acidobacteriota. The record is from RNAcentral. RNAcentral also lists the same sequence under 2 other names.
GCCGGGAUGGCGGAACUGGCAGACGCAGCGGACUCAAAAUCCGCCGGGCUUCGGCCCAUGGGGGUUCAAGUCCCCCUCCCGGCACCA